Molecule: ribosomal RNA, 918 nt
Filed under: Curvularia lunata
Lineage: Eukaryota; Fungi; Ascomycota; Dothideomycetes; Pleosporales; Pleosporaceae
Description: partial large subunit ribosomal RNA
Rfam family: Eukaryotic large subunit ribosomal RNA
Source: RNAcentral
AACUAAGCAUAUCAAUAAGCGGAGGAAAAGAAACCAACAGGGAUUGCCCUAGUAACGGCGAGUGAAGCGGCAACAGCUCAAAUUUGAAAUCUGGCUCUUUCAGAGUCCGAGUUGUAAUUUGCAGAGGGCGCUUUGGCUUUGGCAGCGGUCCAAGUUCCUUGGAACAGGACGUCACAGAGGGUGAGAAUCCCGUACGUGGUCGCUAGCUAUUGCCGUGUAAAGCCCCUUCGACGAGUCGAGUUGUUUGGGAAUGCAGCUCUAAAUGGGAGGUAAAUUUCUUCUAAAGCUAAAUAUUGGCCAGAGACCGAUAGCGCACAAGUAGAGUGAUCGAAAGAUGAAAAGCACUUUGGAAAGAGAGUCAAACAGCACGUGAAAUUGUUGAAAGGGAAGCGCUUGCAGCCAGACUUGCUUGCAGUUGCUCAUCCGGGCUUUUGCCCGGUGCACUCUUCUGCAGGCAGGCCAGCAUCAGUUUGGGCGGUGGGAUAAAGGUCUCUGACACGUUCCUUCCUUCGGGUUGGCCAUAUAGGGGAGACGUCAUACCACCAGCCUGGACUGAGGUCCGCGCAUCUGCUAGGAUGCUGGCGUAAUGGCUGUAAGCGGCCCGUCUUGAAACACGGACCAAGGAGUCUAACAUCUAUGCGAGUGUUUGGGUGUCAAGCCCGAGCGCGUAAUGAAAGUGAACGGAGGUGGGAACCCGCAAGGGUGCACCAUCGACCGAUCCUGAAGUUUACGGAAGGAUUUGAGUAAGAGCAUGGCUGUUGGGACCCGAAAGAUGGUGAACUAUGCUUGAAUAGGGUGAAGCCAGAGGAAACUCUGGUGGAGGCUCGCAGCGGUUCUGACGUGCAAAUCGAUCGUCAAAUUUGGGCAUAGGGGCGAAAGACUAAUCGAACUAUCUAGUAGCUGGUUCCUGCCGAGUUU